Austrofundulus limnaeus is the source of this 125-nucleotide long non-coding RNA. RefSeq lists it as uncharacterized. The transcript is spliced from 3 exons. The record is from RefSeq and is a predicted model, not a curated record. NCBI's taxonomy places the organism in Eukaryota, Metazoa, Chordata, Actinopteri, Cyprinodontiformes, Rivulidae.
GUUUAGGACCAAUUGACUCUUGUGAGACUGUCUGGUUUAGGACCAUAGGUCUCUGAUGUAUCUGAGACUGUCCAGUUCAGGACCAGUGGACUCUGAUGUUUCUGAGAUUAUCCGGCUCAGGACCA